CUGCCACGACCGCUUUUCCCUUAGAAGGACCCCCGGCACUCAGAGAGCGGCGCAUGAGCGGAGCGAGUGAGCCAGGCAACAACAAGCCUCGCUCCACACCUGCUUAUUUGGUAAAAAAAUACAGAUGCACAAUGAGGGACGUCUGCAGCGACUGAGAAAGAGUCUCACCACAUCCUGACAUGAGGAAAAAGACUUUAUUGAAGACUACAAUGAGAAAAACUAUCAGACAGCAGACGGCUGCAUUCAAGGCUACAGGAGGAGUCCUACGAGGACGAGCUGGUCCAGCUGAUGGUGGCCAGUCGCUGCGGUUCAAAGCCAACACCGACUACGUGGACUUCUACUGGACCACAUGGAGGCCUUCAAACCGGACCAACAAGUUCAGCGACUCCCCGACUCGUGGGUCUGAGGACGCCGCCGAGCCUCGGUCCAGCUGGCCUCCUGUCUGUGGGUGUUUGAGUGCUGAGAGGAUUACCACAGACCUGACCAUGAACACCGUUG
Amphiprion ocellaris (clown anemonefish) is the source of this 498-nucleotide long non-coding RNA. The record is from Ensembl. NCBI's taxonomy places the organism in Eukaryota, Metazoa, Chordata, Actinopteri, Pomacentridae.